Molecule: transfer RNA, 68 nt
Filed under: Cyrtodactylus auribalteatus (Golden-belted bent-toed gecko)
Lineage: Eukaryota; Metazoa; Chordata; Lepidosauria; Squamata; Gekkonidae
Description: tRNA Pro
Source: RNAcentral
CAAAAAAUAGUUUAAGCGAAAAAACACUAGUUUUGGGGACUAGAGAUAGGCGUGUGACUUUUUUUGAU